RNAcentral lists this non-coding RNA (77 nucleotides) under Vibrio nigripulchritudo MADA3020. Lineage: Bacteria; Pseudomonadati; Pseudomonadota; Gammaproteobacteria; Vibrionales; Vibrionaceae. RNAcentral also lists the same sequence under 2 other names. The record is from RNAcentral.
UUGAGCCGUAUGCGGGGAAACUCGCACGUACGGUUCUUAGGGGGCGGUGGCGCAGUAAUGCGUCUCUGCUACCCGAC